AUCUGGAACGCCGGUGCCGAUCGGCGUAGCGCCGAUUGGGUGCCGGUUUUCUGGUAUCGGCAGCCGAAAGCGUGGCGGGUUCUUGCCUUUCGGCCGCUUCUGUUCAAGGGUGUUUGUGGCGUUGUCCUGGGCUGUGCCGGCAGCCGUGCUCUCUACCCAUCCAGUCUAAGGGCCUGCCACUUCUUCCCAGCAUCUUGAAGGUUUUAAGUCUCGUAGCAGCUUCUCGUAUUUGCGCCGUCUCUGCGUGUUUGCGCCAGAGCUGCCGUCUCAUAAGGGGCCGUGACGUUCGGCUCUUUUUUUUUUCUGGGGUUGCAGUAGAGGCUCCUCGCCUCACCACUGCCUCCCCGCAGGUUAUUUUUACUGUUGCCGUCUCUGGUUCGGAGUCAUUUCUGUUGUGGAGCAUUUUUGGUGUUAUUGCUGUCGGGUCGUCUAUAAUGUUGUGUGGAGCAUCUGUCUAAGCACGUGCGCGUUUGGCUCGGAGCUGCUCUGCCCGGAGGUGUAGAGUCAGGAGCGGGCGGACUGAGUUUAGGAGUCCACGAUUGAUCUGUGGACAUGUUAUCCUGCGUAGGCAGAGGUUCUGCGGUCAUCUGGGACGGAGUAGCCGUGGGCAGGGGAGCGGACAGUCCCUUCCCCAGUGGUCUUUGGGACUCAAUUAGACCUUGUUGUGGGAUUCCUGAAUAGAAAGCAGACCUGUGGAACGGUCAAGCUGUUGAUGAGCUCCUGGGUAACUUGUUGAAUACCUUGAUUUCAGAUGCAGAGGGACAACUUGGCACGAAACAGCGACGGAGGAGGCGAGCCGAGCGCCGGAAGCAAGUGGGUCUGUGCGUGGUGGGAGCAGGAAGCUGUGCCGUGUGGCUCUAGCUGAGUUUGGUCGUUUCUCUCUUUUCUAGCCGUGAAGCAGAGUGGAAAGCUGGGUAUCGGCAGCGCAGCUCCUCUGGCAAGGCGUCACCAGCGCUGAGGGUUUGUGACCGCGCCCGCGGCACGACACGCCGACCGGACCGCCCUGGAACUCAGCAGGAGGCGCUGAAGCGGAACCCGGCGACGCGGGAAGACGGCCGUUGGCACACGUAGCGUUUUCCUCUGCCGAAGAUGGGUUCGGUCCCUCGGCCCUCUGAAAGCUAAGUGGAGGCGAGACUACUGGGAAGGGGCUGGGAAGGGGCUGGGAAUCGCAGGGACGGGGGGUUUAGCUCUGCUAAGGGCAAGGGCCGUCCAGGAACCGUGAAGGGCCCGGGGACCUUUACUGUGCGAUGCCAGCGUGUGCUGGGCAGGGCAGCUCCAGCCUGCGUCUGCGUUGUGGUGUAGUUCGGGAAGCCUGCCUUGCGCCCGUCAGAUGAUCCUGGGGUCUCGUUGCGUUCCAGGGGCACGAAAGGCCUCUGGGGUGUCAUCCCGGCAUCUGGAACGCCGGUGCCGAUUGGGCGCCGGUUUUCUGGUGUCGGCAGCCAAAAGCGAGGCGGGUUCUUGCCUUUCGGCCGCUUCUGUUCAGGGGUGUUUGUGGCGUUGUCCUGGGCUGUGCCGGCAGCCGGGCUCUCUACCCAUCCAGUCUCAGGGACUGGAGCUUCAAGAUGCUGGGAAGAAGUUCUUAGGUGUUCCAGCAGCUUCUCCUUUGGUUGCGCCGUUUCUGCUCGGUUGCGGCGGUGCCGCCGUCUCGUCAGGAGCCAUGACGUCGGGCUCCUUUUCCGUUUCGGGUUGCAGGAGAGGCUCCUCGCCUCACCGCUGCCUCCCCGUAGCUUAUUGGUUUCGAUGCCCGUCUGGUCUCGGAGUGUCGUGUUCGUGGUGGAGCGUUUUUGGUGCUGUGGCAGUGGCGUGGUCUAUAAGGUUCUGCGGAGCGUCUGUCCGCCCGGGUGCGCGUUUGGCUCGGAGCUGCUCUGCCCGGACGCGUAGAGGCAGGGGAGGGCGGACGGAGCUCUGGCGGUCCCCGGUUAACCUGCUGACGCGUUAAAUUGCGUGGGCAGAGGCGGUGCGGUCAUCUGGGAUUGAGUGGCCAUGGGCAGGGGAGCGGAGGGUGCCCGCGCAGGCGUUUGAGAGCCUCCACGAGGGCGUGGAACGUUAUUGUGCCACAGAAAGCAGACCUGUAGGCUGGUCAAGCUGUUGAUGGGCUGCUGGGUGACUCGCUGAAUAACCUGAUUUCAGGAGCAGAGGGACAACUUGGCACGGAAGAGCGACGGAGGAGGCGAGCUGUGCGCCGUAAGCAGGCGCGAAGCGAAGAGGAAAGCGGGCUGUCGGCAGCUCAGCUCCUCGGGCCAGGCGGCAGCUGAGCGUCUCGGCGGUCCGCGGCGUGGCAGUCAAAAGCAAGGGCGGCCGGGUGGGCGAGCGGCCCAGGCGCUUUGUGGGCCCUCUGGACCGGGAGGAGCAUUUGCGGCGUCACCAGCGCUGAGGGUUUGUGACCGCGCCAGCGGCAGGACACGCCGACCGGACCGCCCUGGAACUCAGCAGGAGGCGCUGAAGCGGAACCCGGCGACGCGGGAAGACGGCCGUUGGCGCACGUGGCGUUUUCCUCUGCCGAAGAUGGGUUCGGUCCCUCGGCCCUCUGAAAGCUAAGUGGAGGCGCGAGGGCUGUGAAGGGGCCGGGAAUGGCAGGGACGGGGGGUUUAGCUCUGCUAAGGGCAAGGGCCGUCCAGGAACCGCGCCCUUGGCGCGGGUGAAGGGCCCGUGGACCUUUACCGUGCGAUGCCAGCGUGUGCCGGGCAGGGCAGCUCCAGCCUGCGUCUGCGUUGUGGUGUAGUUCGGGAAGCCUGCCUUGCGCCCGUCAGCCGAUCCUGGGGUCUCGUUGCCUUCCAGGGGCACGAAAGGCCUCUCGGGUGCCAUCCCGGCAUCUGGAACGCCGGUGCCGAUCGGCGUAGCGCCGAUUGGGCGCCGGUUUUCUGGUGUCGGCAGCCGAAAGCGUGGCGGGUUCUUGCCUUUCGGCUGCUUCUGUUCACGGGUGUUUGUGGCGUUGUCCUGGGCUGUGCCGGCAGCCGUGCUCUCUACCCAUCCAGUCUAAGGGACUGGCACUUCUUCCCAGCAUCUUGAAGGUUUUAGGUCUCGUAGCAGCUUCUCGUAUUUGCGCCGUCUCUGCGUGUUUGCGCCAGAGCUGCCGUCUCAUAAGGGGCCGUGACGUUCGGCUCUUUUUUUUUUCUGGGGUUGCAGUAGAGGCUCCUCGCCUCACCACUGCCUCCCCGCAGGUUAUUUUUACUGUUGCCGUCUCUGGUUCGGAGUCAUUUCUGUUGUGGAGCAUUUUUGGUGUUAUUGCUGUCGGGUCGUCUAUAAUGUUGUGUGGAGCAUCUGUCUAAGCACGUGCGCGUUUGGCUCGGAGCUGCUCUGCCCGGAGGUGUAGAGUCAGGAGCGGGCGGACUGAGUUUAGGAGUCCACGAUUGAUCUGUGGACAUGUUAUCCUGCGCAGGCAGAGGUUCUGCGGUCAUCUGGGACGGAGUAGCCGUGGGCAGGGGAGCGGACAGUCCCUUCCCCAGUGGUCUUUGGGACUCAAUUAGACCUUGUUGUGGGAUUCCUGAAUAGAAAGCAGACCUGUGGAACGGUCAAGCUGUUGAUGAGCUCCUGGGUAACUUGUUGAAUACCUUGAUUUCAGAUGCAGAGGGACAACUUGGCACGAAACAGCGACGGAGGAGGCGAGCCGAGCGCCGG
Columba livia (rock pigeon) is the source of this 3618-nucleotide long non-coding RNA. RefSeq lists it as uncharacterized. Lineage: Eukaryota; Metazoa; Chordata; Aves; Columbiformes; Columbidae. The record is from RefSeq and is a predicted model, not a curated record. The transcript has 8 exons.